Molecule: ribosomal RNA, 439 nt
Filed under: uncultured bacterium
Lineage: Bacteria
Description: bacterial SSU rRNA
Rfam family: Bacterial small subunit ribosomal RNA
Source: RNAcentral
CCUACGGGAGGCAGCAGUGGGGAAUAUUGGACAAUGGAGGCAACUCUGAUCCAGCAAUGCCGCGUGUGUGAUGAAGGCCCUAGGGUUGUAAAGCACUUUCAACGGUGAAGAUGAUGACGGUAGCCGUAGAAGAAGCCCCGGCUAACUUCGUGCCAGCAGCCGCGGUAAUACGAAGGGGGCGAGCGUUAUUCGGAAUUAUUGGGCGUAAAGGGCUCGCAGGCUGCUUGAACAGUUAGACGUGAAAUCCCCGGGCUCAACCUGGGAACUGCGUUUAAUACUAGCAAGCUAGAGUAAUAGAGAGGAAAGUGGAAUUCCCAGUGUAGAGGUGAAAUUCGUAGAUAUUGGGAAGAACACCAGUGGCGAAAGCGGGCUUUCUGGCUAUUUACUGACGCUGAGGAGCGAAAGCGUGGGGAGCAAACAGGAUUAGAUACCCUGGUAG